GUUAUCAAAUAAUUAAAUAUACAUGUAUAAUUAUAGUAUGUGUUAAAUGUCAAUAAAAUAAAAUUAAAAAAAAAUAACAAAUAAAUAAUAUUUUACAGUGAACACCCUCUUGGGAAAGCGCAAAAACAGGAAUAUUGCAAUUACUCAACAAGAGGUUCUCCUUUUAUUGCGAGCGUACCAAUCACACCCAUGCGCUUGGGGGGAAAUCCUUGAAGAAAUUCAAGGGAACACCAGCACCCUCCACUUACCAGCGCAACGGCUAUACAGAGAGUCUACAAUCAAACAGUUGAGGGAAAGGUUGUCCACAAGGUUAUCCAAACUAUUGAAGGACGGUUCAGAGGAUGCUAAUAUUCGGUUAGAACUGGGGAAAUUCGGGCUUUGGAAACAAAGCACACGGCCAAAAAAACCUUCUGAAUCAUUUGAAGUGCUGGUUCCCGGUCCUUCGGGACACAUGGCGAUAACGCGCCACAAGGUGGCCAUGGAGCUGAGCUCCAGUGAAGAAGAUGGUCCUCCUGUUCCUAAAAAAGCCAAUAAAGAGAUAGGAAAAGAAAAAAAA
Molecule: long non-coding RNA, 556 nt
Organism: Pecten maximus
Lineage: Eukaryota; Metazoa; Mollusca; Bivalvia; Pectinida; Pectinidae
Exons: 2
Source: RefSeq, a predicted model, not a curated record